RNAcentral lists this ribosomal RNA (253 nucleotides) under uncultured bacterium. RNAcentral describes it as "partial 16S ribosomal RNA". It matches the Rfam family "Bacterial small subunit ribosomal RNA", at positions 524 to 776 of the family's 1533-position model. The record is from RNAcentral.
UACGUAGGGUGCAAGCGUUGUCCGGAAUUACUGGGCGUAAAGGGCUCGUAGGCGGCCAACUAAGUCGGACGUGAAAUCCCUCAGCUUAACUGGGGAACUGCGUCCGAUACUGGAUGGCUUGGAUUUGGGAGAGGGAUGCGGAAUUCCAGGUGUAGCGGUGAAAUGCGUAGAUAUCUGGAGGAACACCGGUGGCGAAGGCGGCAUCCUGGACCAAUAUUGACGCUGAGGAGCGAAAGCUAGGGGAGCAAACGGG